UACGUAGGGGGCUAGCGUUGUCCGGAUUUAUUGGGCGUAAAGCGCGUGUAGGCGGCUUUGCAAGUCGGGUGUGAAAGCCCUCAGCUCAACUGAGGAAGUGCGCCCGAAACUGCAGAGCUUGAGUACCGGAGAGGGUGGCGGAAUUCCCCAAGUAGAGGUGAAAUUCGUAGAUAUGGGGAGGAACACCGGUGGCGAAGGCGGCCACCUGGACGGUCACUGACGCUGAGACGCGAAAGCGUGGGGAGCAAACGGG
RNAcentral lists this ribosomal RNA (253 nucleotides) under uncultured bacterium. RNAcentral describes it as "partial 16S ribosomal RNA". It matches the Rfam family "Bacterial small subunit ribosomal RNA", at positions 524 to 776 of the family's 1533-position model. The record is from RNAcentral.